UACAGAGGUCUCAAGCGUUGUUCGGAAUUACUGGGCGUAAAGAGUGUGUAGGCGGUGUUCUAAGUUUGUCGUGAAAUCUCCCGGCUUAACUGGGAGGGUGCGGCGAAAACUGGAAUGCUAGAGGAUGGGAGAGGUAAGCGGAAUUCCUGGUGUAGCGGUGAAAUGCGUAGAUAUCAGGAGGAACACCUGUGGUGUAGACAGCUUACUGGACCAUUUCUGACGCUGAGACACGAAAGCGUGGGUAGCAAACAGG
Molecule: ribosomal RNA, 253 nt
Filed under: uncultured bacterium
Lineage: Bacteria
Description: partial 16S ribosomal RNA
Rfam family: Bacterial small subunit ribosomal RNA
Source: RNAcentral